AAAACACUAGCGAACGCUGGCGGCAGGCUUAACACAUGCAAGUCGAACGGGCACUUCGGUGCUAGUGGCAGACGGGUGAGUAACGCGUGGGAACGUGCCUUUCGGUUCGGAAUAAUCCAGGGAAACUUGGACUAAUACCGGAUACGCCCUUCGGGGGAAAGAUUUAUCGCCGAAAGAUCGGCCCGCGUCUGAUUAGCUAGUUGGUGAGGUAAAGGCUCACCAAGGCGACGAUCAGUAGCUGGUCUGAGAGGAUGAUCAGCCACAUUGGGACUGAGACACGGCCCAA
This 286-nucleotide ribosomal RNA is filed under the name uncultured bacterium. RNAcentral's name for it is "partial 16S ribosomal RNA". It matches the Rfam family "Bacterial small subunit ribosomal RNA", at positions 29 to 334 of the family's 1533-position model. The record is from RNAcentral.